GACGAACGCUGGCGGCGUGCUUAACACAUGCAAGUCGAGCGGUAAGGCCCUUUCGGGGGUACACGAGCGGCGAACGGGUGAGUAACACGUGGGUGACCUGCCCUCAGCUCUGGGAUAAGCCUGGGAAACUGGGUCUAAUACCGGAUAUGACUCCAUGACGCAUGUUGUGGGGUGGAAAGCCUUGUGCGGCUGGGGGAUGGGCCCGCGGCCUAUCAGCUUGUUGGUGGGGUGANGGCCUACCAAGGCGACGACGGGUAGCCGGCCUGAGAGGGCGACCGGCCACACUGGGACUGAGACACGGCCCAGACUCCUACGGGAGGCAGCAGUGGGGAAUCUUGCGCAAUGGGCGAAAGCCUGACGCAGCGACGCCGCGUGAGGGAUGACGGCCU
Molecule: ribosomal RNA, 389 nt
Filed under: uncultured bacterium
Lineage: Bacteria
Description: bacterial SSU rRNA
Rfam family: Bacterial small subunit ribosomal RNA
Source: RNAcentral